RNAcentral lists this ribosomal RNA (253 nucleotides) under uncultured bacterium. RNAcentral's name for it is "partial 16S ribosomal RNA". It matches the Rfam family "Bacterial small subunit ribosomal RNA", at positions 524 to 776 of the family's 1533-position model. The record is from RNAcentral.
UACGGAGGGUCCAAGCGUUAUCCGGAAUCAUUGGGUUUAAAGGGUCCGCAGGCGGAUUGAUAAGUCAGAGGUGAAAUCCCGCAGCUUAACUGUGGAACUGCCUUUGAUACUGGUUGACUUGAGUUAUAUGGAAGUAGAUAGAAUGUGUAGUGUAGCGGUGAAAUGCAUAGAUAUUACACAGAAUACCGAUUGCGAAGGCAGUCUACUACGUAUAUACUGACGCUCAUGGACGAAAGCGUGGGGAGCGAACAGG